RNAcentral lists this ribosomal RNA (253 nucleotides) under uncultured bacterium. Its description in RNAcentral is "partial 16S ribosomal RNA". It matches the Rfam family "Bacterial small subunit ribosomal RNA", at positions 524 to 776 of the family's 1533-position model. The record is from RNAcentral.
UACGUAGGUGGCAAGCGUUGUCCGGAUUUACUGGGCGUAAGGAGCGCGCAGGCGGUCGAUUUAGUCGCGUGUGAAAGCCCCCGGCUCAACUGGGGAGGGUCACGCGAUACUGAUCGACUCGAAGGCAGGAGAGGGUAGUGGAAUUCCCGGUGUAGUGGUGAAAUGCGUAGAUAUCGGGAGGAACACCAGUGGCGAAGGCGACUACCUGGCCUGUUCUUGACGCUGAGGCGCGAAAGUUAGGGGAGCAAACGGG